UAUGGAUCCAAUCAGACAUCACCAACGGACAUAAGGCUGACCAGGAGACUUUGGUAUAGACAGCUGGGAGGCCAGCCUUGAGGCAGUUCAAGAAGUUGCACAGAACGCAGCUGCGCAGUUGAGCAUGGAUGCCACAGAAGAAUCUCCCAGCUAGGCAAUUGGUGUCAGAGGUCCCUUUCCCCUAGUGCUAUGUUUUCAGUUUACCCUUCAACAAGACUAUAAGAAUCUCUAGCAGCUCCCUGUCAGCCAUACUGUACAACACACUAUGGACACAGCUUUUAACAGAUAAAAACCUUGGAUCAAGACCUCCCUUCAUUGGAUUGCAUAAAAGAUACGUGGGCUGAUACGUGGUCAAG
Molecule: long non-coding RNA, 356 nt
Organism: Dreissena polymorpha
Lineage: Eukaryota; Metazoa; Mollusca; Bivalvia; Myida; Dreissenidae
Exons: 3
Source: RefSeq, a predicted model, not a curated record